Molecule: ribosomal RNA, 305 nt
Filed under: uncultured bacterium
Lineage: Bacteria
Description: bacterial SSU rRNA
Rfam family: Bacterial small subunit ribosomal RNA
Source: RNAcentral
UUUCCUACGGGAGGCAGCAGUAGGGAAUUUUCGUCAAUGGGCGCAAGCCUGAACGAGCAAUGCCGCGUGAACGAGGAAGGUCUUCGGAUCGUAAAGUUCUGUUGAAGGGGAAAAAGAGCGGAGAGAGGAAAUGAACUCCGAUUGAUAUUACCCUUCGAGGAAGUCACGGCUAACUACGUGCCAGCAGCCGCGGUAAUACGGAGGAUGCGAGCGUUAUCCGGAUUUAUUGGGUUUAAAGGGUGCGCAGGCGGCGAGUUAAGUCAGCGGUAAAAUUUCGGGGCUCAACCCCGACAAGCCGUUGAAAC